RNAcentral lists this ribosomal RNA (252 nucleotides) under uncultured bacterium. RNAcentral describes it as "partial 16S ribosomal RNA". It matches the Rfam family "Bacterial small subunit ribosomal RNA", at positions 524 to 776 of the family's 1533-position model. The record is from RNAcentral.
UACGUAGGUCCCGAGCGUUGUCCGGAUUUAUUGGGCGUAAAGCGAGCGCAGGCGGUUUAUUAAGUCUGGUGUAAAAGGCAGUGGCUCAACCAUUGUAUGCAUUGGAAACUGGUAGACUUGAGUGCAGGAGAGGAGAGUAGAAUUCCAUGUGUAGCGGUGAAAUGCGUAGAUAUAUGGAGGAACACCGGUGGCGAAAGCGGCUCUCUGGCCUGUAACUGACACUGAGGCUCGAAAGCGUGGGGAGCAAACAGG